AUACGUAGGGAGCAAGCGUUGUCCGGAUUUACUGGGUGUAAAGGGUGCGUAGGCGGCUCUGCAAGUCAGGUGUGAAAACUAUGGGCUUAACUCAUAGAUUGCACUUGAAACUGUGGAGCUUGAGUGAAGUAGAGGCAGGCGGAAUUCCCGGUGUAGCGGUGAAAUGCGUAGAGAUCGGGAGGAACACCAGUGGCGAAGGCGGCCUGCUGGGCUUUAACUGACGCUGAGGCACGAAAGCAUGGGUAGCAAACAGGAUUAGAUACCCUGGUAGUCCAUGCCGUAAACGAUGAUUACUAGGUGUGGGGGGUCUGACCCCUUCCGUGCCGGAGUUAACACAAUAAGUAAUCCACCUGGGGAGUACGACCGCAAGGUUGAA
RNAcentral lists this ribosomal RNA (376 nucleotides) under uncultured bacterium. RNAcentral's name for it is "bacterial SSU rRNA". It matches the Rfam family "Bacterial small subunit ribosomal RNA", at positions 523 to 898 of the family's 1533-position model. The record is from RNAcentral.